CCCUUAGAUGUUCUGGGCCGCACGCGUGCUACACUGAGUGGAUCAGCGGGUCAGGUUGCGCGAAAGUGUUUCCUAAUCUUUAAAUCCGCUCGUGAUGGGGAUUGACGGUUGCAAUUUUCCGUCAUGAACGAGGAAUACCUUGUAAGCGCGGGUCAUCAUCCCGCGCUGAAUACGUCCCUGCCCUUUGUACACACCGCCCGUCGCACCUACCGAUUGAAUGACUCGGUGAAAAAUUGGGACUGUGAUUGAAAUUGCUUCAUUGCGAAUUUAAUUAUGGAAACUUUCUUUAACCUAGGCAUUUAGAGGAAGGUGAAGUCGUAACA
This 323-nucleotide ribosomal RNA is filed under the name uncultured eukaryote. RNAcentral describes it as "partial 18S ribosomal RNA". It matches the Rfam family "Eukaryotic small subunit ribosomal RNA", at positions 1470 to 1796 of the family's 1831-position model. The record is from RNAcentral.